RNAcentral lists this ribosomal RNA (472 nucleotides) under uncultured bacterium. RNAcentral's name for it is "bacterial SSU rRNA". It matches the Rfam family "Bacterial small subunit ribosomal RNA", at positions 32 to 507 of the family's 1533-position model. The record is from RNAcentral.
GACAACGCUGGCGGCGUGCUUAACACAUGCAAGUCGAACGGACGAGUGAGAUAAGUUUACUUAACUCACAAGUUAGUGGCGGACGGGUGAGUAACACGUGGAUAAUCUACCUGCAACACCGGGAUAACGCUGUGAAAACGGUGCUAAUACCGGAUACGUUCCCUUGUGCGCAUGUAUGAGGGAAGAAAGCUCAGGCGGUUGCAGAUGAGUCCGCGGCUGAUUAGCUAGUUGGUGAGGUAAAGGCUCACCAAGGCGAUGAUCAGUAGCCGGCCUGAGAGGGUGAACGGCCACACUGGGACUGAGACACGGCCCAGACUCCUACGGGAGGCAGCAGUUGGGAAUCUUAGGCAAUGGACGAAAGUCUGACCUAGCGACGCCGCGUGAGGGAAGAAGGCCUUCGGGUUGUAAACCUCUGUCAUGGGGGAAGAAGUAAGUGACGGUACCCCAAGAGGAAGCCCCUGCUAACUACGUG